This 253-nucleotide ribosomal RNA is filed under the name uncultured bacterium. Its description in RNAcentral is "partial 16S ribosomal RNA". It matches the Rfam family "Bacterial small subunit ribosomal RNA", at positions 524 to 776 of the family's 1533-position model. The record is from RNAcentral.
UACAGAGGUCUCAAGCGUUGUUCGGAUUCAUUGGGCGUAAAGGGUGCGUAGGUGGCGCCGUAAGUCGGGUGUGAAAUUUCGGAGCUUAACUCCGAAACUGCAUUCGAUACUGCGGUGCUUGAGGACUGGAGAGGAGACUGGAAUCCAUGGUGUAGCAGUGAAAUGCGUAGAGAUCAUGAGGAAGACCAGUGGCGAAGGCGGGUCUCUGGACAGUUCCUGACACUGAGGCACGAAGGCCAGGGGAGCAAACGGG